CCCCACUGCUAUCGGGAUGGGACUAAGACAUGCUAGUCAAGCGCCUUCCAGCCAUGUGGGAGGUGCGGCGCACAGCUCAGUAACACGUGGCUAACCUGCCCUUGGGAUAGGGAUAACCCCGGGAAACUGGGGCUAAUCCCCAAUAGGCGAAGGCUCCUGGAAUGGAUCUUCACCCGAAAAGACCCUAGAUCAUGCUUCUAGGCGUCGCCCAAGGAUGGGGCCGCGUCCGAUCAGGUUGUUGGUGAGGUAAUGGCUCACCAAGCCUUUUACCGGUGCGGGCCGUGAGAGCGGGAGCCCGGAGAUGGGCACUGAGACAAGGGCCCAGGUCCUACGGGGCGCAGCAGUCGCGAAACCUUUGCAAUACACGCAAGUGUGACAGGGUCAUCCCGAGUGCCGACCGCUGAGGUUGGCUUUUACCCAGUCUAGAAAGCUGGGGGAAUAAGGAGAGGGCAAGUCUGGUGUCAGCCGCCGCGGUAAUACCAGCUCUCCGAGUGGUGUGGACGUUUAUUGGGCCUAAAGCAUCCGUAGCUGGCUGAACAAGUCCCCUGUUAAACCCACCGAUUUAAUCGUUGGCUUGCGGGGGAUACUGCUCGGCUAGGGGACGAGAGAGGCAGACGGUAUUCCCGGGGUAGGGGUGAAAUCCUAUAAUCCCGGGAAGACCACCAGUGGCGAAGGCUGUCUGCUAGAACGCGCCCGACGGUGAGGGAUGAAAGCUGGGGGAGCGAACCGAAUUAGAUACCCGGGUAGUCCCAGCUGUAAACGAUGCAGGCUAGGUGUUUGGACGGCCACGUGCCGUUCUAGUGCCGCAGGGAAGCUGUUAAGCCUGCCGCCUGGGGAGUACGGUCGCAAGAUUGAAACUUAAAGGAAUUGGCGGGGGAGCACCACAAGGGGUGAAGCUUGCGGUUU
This 906-nucleotide ribosomal RNA is filed under the name uncultured archaeon. Its description in RNAcentral is "bacterial SSU rRNA". It matches the Rfam family "Archaeal small subunit ribosomal RNA", at positions 21 to 903 of the family's 1478-position model. The record is from RNAcentral.